UACGGAGGGGGCUAGCGUUAUUCGGAAUUAUUGGGCGUAAAGGGCGCGUAGGCGGCCCGGUAAGUCAAAGGUGAAAUCCCUCGGCUCAACUCCGGGCCUGCAGUCGAUACGGGCUGGCUUGAGUGCGGUAGGGGAGACUGGAAUUCCUGGUGUAGCGGUGAAAUGCGCAGAUAUCAGGAGGAACACCGGUGGCGAAGGCGGGUCUCUGGGCCGAUACUGACGCUGAGGAGCGAAAGCGUGGGGAGCGAACAGG
Molecule: ribosomal RNA, 253 nt
Filed under: uncultured bacterium
Lineage: Bacteria
Description: partial 16S ribosomal RNA
Rfam family: Bacterial small subunit ribosomal RNA
Source: RNAcentral